Molecule: ribosomal RNA, 253 nt
Filed under: uncultured bacterium
Lineage: Bacteria
Description: partial 16S ribosomal RNA
Rfam family: Bacterial small subunit ribosomal RNA
Source: RNAcentral
UACGGGGGGGACAAGCGUUGUUCGGAUUCACUGGGCGUAAAGGGCGCGUAGGCGGAUUCUCAAGUCGGAUGUGAAAUCUUGCAGCUCAACUGCAAGCCUGCAUUCGAAACUGGGGAUCUUGAGUACAGUAGAGGAAAGCGGAAUUCCAGGUGUAGCGGUGAAAUGCGUAGAUAUCUGGAAGAACACCAGUAGCGAAGGCGGCUUUCUGGGCUGAUACUGACGCUGAAGCGCGAAGGCUUGGGUAGCAAACAGG